Molecule: ribosomal RNA, 226 nt
Filed under: uncultured soil bacterium
Lineage: Bacteria
Description: partial 16S ribosomal RNA
Rfam family: Bacterial small subunit ribosomal RNA
Source: RNAcentral
AGAACGAACGCUGGCGGCAUGCCUAAUACAUGCAAGUCGAACGAAGGCUUCGGCCUUAGUGGCGCACGGGUGCGUAACGCGUGGGAAUCUGCCCCUUGGUUCGGAAUAACAGUUGGAAACGACUGCUAAUACCGGAUGAUGACGAAAGUCCAAAGAUUUAUCGCCAAGGGAUGAGCCCGCGUAGGAUUAGCUAGUUGGUGAGGUAAAGGCUCACCAAGGCGACGAU